AAAAACAAAGGAGAAAGGAGAAAGUCUUCGUGAAAGAUUAUGCAACUAGUUAGAGGAAGGUCUUCUGUUAUUAUUUAAUAGCAUAGCUGGUUUUGAUCAAAUACACAUACCUAACUUCUGAUGAAAACCCAACUCAAAGGUAACAAAAAUCACUUCAGGCUAAUUUUUUGACUUGCUUUCAGACCCUAGACAGAGGUUAGUUAGCAUUACAGUAUUUAAGCUCUUUAUGAAUUUCUGCUGAAUUAACAUAUGUUUGGAAAUCAGCUGCUGAUGUGAACCCAGCAGAAAUGAUAGAAUAAUCCAGUGCAGUUUUAGAAGGGAAUAUACUAACAGGUUUCAGUAAUUUAGCACGAACUAGUUUUUUUAGAGUAAAUAACCAUGGAUCACAAUCAAUGUGCUUAAUUUGUAGUACAGUAAACCAUACUUCUAGAUUUUUUCAAGUGUGGGGACUAGGUAUAAUUAAUCUAUCCAACUUUUCAUUAUGAAAAUUUAUAAACAGAAAAAAAUUAGAAUUUGUGUAACUUAAAUUUUUGUUGGUAGAAUUCCUCAUGUUUAUAUAUUAGUUGGAUAUUGAUUUUCCUUGCUCCCCAUUGGGACAAUCCUGCACCACCCCACCACCCUUCACCAGCCAAAAACAAUCUCUCCCAGUUGUUUAAUUUUAAUGCAGCUGAUGUGGUAGAAGAGUCCUGGUCUCAAAGGACUCCCUCUUCCUCCAUUUCUUCCUGAUGAGUUUGCAAAUCUGACUAAUUCUGAUUGAAUCAAGAAUGAAUGCAUCACUCUCAGUGUGUAAACAGGCAGCAGUCAAUGGAGUAGAAUCAAAGGGAAGAAAGAUUUUCCUCAGGAUUUUUGAAAUAUUAAAAAACAUUAGAGUUCCAUAUCCUUAAUUUCCAGU
Molecule: long non-coding RNA, 892 nt
Filed under: Homo sapiens (human)
Lineage: Eukaryota; Metazoa; Chordata; Mammalia; Primates; Hominidae
Description: HSALNT0116079
Source: RNAcentral